Molecule: long non-coding RNA, 532 nt
Organism: Eptesicus fuscus (big brown bat)
Lineage: Eukaryota; Metazoa; Chordata; Mammalia; Chiroptera; Vespertilionidae
Exons: 2
Source: RefSeq, a predicted model, not a curated record
CUGACUUCUUGACAGCUAAAAUAAAUUGUCAUUGCUGUAGUAGGUACAUUCUAUGUUACUGGAAGAGAAUAUUGUCUUAUAACUGUCUUAGGCAUACUGUUAAAAGGCUGUGUACAAGGAUGCCAAAGAGAAAACAGGUAAAUGUAUUUUAUUAUUAUGUUUUGUGGACACCAUUAAGUACUUGGUAUGUUUUUAAGUACUAUUCCCAACCAUGUUCUUGUUCCAAAGUAAUAUUAGGAGCACUUCAAAUCAUUGGGCCAAGCAAUCAAAUAUUAUUACAUGCCUAUUGUUUUAAGGCAUCAUUCUAGGGGCCGAAAAAUGACAAGAAAAGAUAGUUAAUAAUACAGUUUCUGUCCUUGAGUAUUUUUACAAUUAAUCAGAAAUGACUUCUUGUUGUUUUUUAAAAAUCUUUAUUGUUAAAAGUAUUACAUAUGUCCCCUUCCCCUACUCCACUGACUUCUUCAAGAAAUUACUUCUUAACCAUUUCUAGAUUUCUGUCCUACCCUCAAAUAAAACGAAGAGUGCUACCUUU